GGUGACUCUGGCCACAGUGAGGGCUGAGCACUACUGGGCCUGCGUAGGUUUCAGAAACAUAUGCUGCAGGUGCACAUUCUCUCCAGGGGGUUUGCCUCUUUCUUUUAACAAUGCGUGCCCCUUUGCCUGCUUCCUCUGCAUAGCCUCAACAAGGUUAUAUACAGGAAGCAGAAGGGAAGGCGUGAGCAUGCAGAAAUUAGGCUUAGCUCACUGACAGGGGAAGAAAGAGACCCUGUGCAAGCCCAAUCAAGACAGAAGCUCAAACGGAACUUCAGAAUGAGGUAACUAAGGCACAUGAAGGUCAAGCCCAAGUCACGCAACUGAUGAGUGACAAAACCAGGAUCUGAACCUGGCAGUCUGGCCCCAGAGCCCUCUCUGCCUGCUACCACCUGUCCAUCUGUGGUCAUGGAGCUGAGUCUAGUGAGAUUCCCACCAAGAACAACAACCUUUCCCUUGCCAAUAUCCUCAACUCUUUUGCAUAUAACAUCCUGAUUAGGCAACAUCAGCACGGAAGAAGCCCAGUGUCCACCUUCUUCCUGCCAACGCCUGCGCUGCUGAAUAUUAUUAAGAAAACACGAUGGUGGAGAUACAUUUUCAGCAUGAGACACACCCUUAGAGUCAAGGAAACUUUUCUUUUGAGCUAUUGACAGCUUUAACAAUUUAGUAUACUCCUAUGAACACAAUUUGGAGCAUAUCUGUUUCCCUCUACCUGAUUUCUCCAGAAUUUGGAAACUAUCUGUGAG
RNAcentral lists this long non-coding RNA (743 nucleotides) under Homo sapiens (human). RNAcentral describes it as "HSALNT0042113". Lineage: Eukaryota; Metazoa; Chordata; Mammalia; Primates; Hominidae. The record is from RNAcentral.